GACGAACGCUGGCGGCGUGCUUAACACAUGCAAGUCGAACGGAAAGGCCCUGCUUUUGUGGGGUGCUCGAGUGGCGAACGGGUGAGUAACACGUGAGUAACCUGCCCUUGACUUUGGGAUAACUUCAGGAAACUGGGGCUAAUACCGGAUAGGAGCUCCUGCUGCAUGGUGGGGGUUGGAAAGUUUCGGCGGUUGGAGAUGGACUCGCGGCUUAUCAGCUUGUUGGUGGGGUAGUGGCUUACCAAGGCUUUGACGGGUAGCCGGCCUGAGAGGGUGACCGGCCACAUUGGGACUGAGAUACGGCCCAGACUCCUACGGGAGGCAGCAGUGGGGAAUAUUGCACAAUGGGCGGAAGCCUGAUGCAGCAACGCCGCGUGCGGGAUGACGGCCUUCGGGUUGUAAACCGCUUUCGCCGGUGACGAAGCGUGAGUGACGGUAAUGGGUAAAGAAGCACCGGCUAACUACGUG
This 468-nucleotide ribosomal RNA is filed under the name uncultured bacterium. Its description in RNAcentral is "partial 16S ribosomal RNA". It matches the Rfam family "Bacterial small subunit ribosomal RNA", at positions 28 to 507 of the family's 1533-position model. The record is from RNAcentral.